GGGACAGUAGCUCCAAUGGUAGAGCGGGUGACUCCAAAUCACUAGGCUGGGGGUUCAAGUCCUCCCUGUCCCG
This 73-nucleotide transfer RNA is filed under the name Spirochaetota bacterium. Its description in RNAcentral is "tRNA-Trp". It matches the Rfam family "tRNA". From Rfam's summary of the family: Transfer RNA (tRNA) molecules are approximately 80 nucleotides in length. Their secondary structure includes four short double-helical elements and three loops (D, anti-codon, and T loops). Further hydrogen bonds mediate the characteristic L-shaped molecular structure. tRNAs have two regions of fundamental functional importance: the anti-codon, which is responsible for specific mRNA codon recognition, and the 3' end, to which the tRNAs corresponding amino acid is attached (by aminoacyl-tRNA synthetases). tRNAs cope with the degeneracy of the genetic code in two manners: having more than one tRNA (with a specific anti-codon) for a particular amino acid; and 'wobble' base-pairing, i.e. permitting non-standard base-pairing at the 3rd anti-codon position. The record is from RNAcentral. Lineage: Bacteria; Pseudomonadati; Spirochaetota.